Long non-coding RNA from Macaca mulatta (Rhesus monkey), 351 nucleotides. RefSeq lists it as uncharacterized. The record is from RefSeq and is a predicted model, not a curated record. Lineage: Eukaryota; Metazoa; Chordata; Mammalia; Primates; Cercopithecidae.
CCCAGCUCUAUUAUUACUGAUUUUUAAAUAAAUUCUGUCGAAUUUUAAGACCCUCUUCUUCUUUGCUGUAAUUAACUCUUUGGAUGGGCGAGGUGCUUUCAGUGGAAUCACCAGCUGUGAAUUCUUCCUUGCCUCUCCCAUCUCACUGCUGGGACUUCAGUGAUGUGCACCCUGGACGGCAUCUUAGGGCUUCAGAGCCUCGAGAGGACACAGAAGAACGGAAAGUACCUAUCAUUUGAUUGGAGCUGACAAUUUCUGCUAUGAAAAGAAACACUGGGAAAGAAGAGGGGGUUUUAUUUUUUAGAAAACUAACUUUGUAAAUUAAAGAAGAAAAGAUUAAUUACUUGGAAA